Molecule: ribosomal RNA, 336 nt
Filed under: uncultured bacterium
Lineage: Bacteria
Description: bacterial SSU rRNA
Rfam family: Bacterial small subunit ribosomal RNA
Source: RNAcentral
AAGUGGAGCAAUCCAUGAGUACAGUGGCGUACGGGUGAGUAACAUGUGACUAACCUACCCUCGAGUGGGGAAUAACCUCGGGAAACCGGGGCUAAUACCGCAUAACAUCCCCGGAUCAAAUGCGUAAGCAGCUUGAGGAGGGGGUCGCGGCCGAUUAGCUAGUUGGCGGGGUAAUGGCCCACCAAGGCAAUGAUCGGUAGCCGGCCUGAGAGGGCGCACGGCCACACUGGAACUGAAACACGGUCCAGACUCCUACGGGAGGCAGCAGUGGGGAAUUUUGCGCAAUGGGGGAAACCCUGACGCAGCAACGCCGCGUGGAGGAUGAAGCCCCUUGGG